RNAcentral lists this unclassified non-coding RNA (363 nucleotides) under fungal sp. Its description in RNAcentral is "partial internal transcribed spacer region". The stretch from base 1 to 46 matches the Rfam family "Eukaryotic small subunit ribosomal RNA", at positions 1786 to 1831 of the family's 1831-position model. Lineage: Eukaryota; Fungi. The record is from RNAcentral.
AAGUCGUAACAAGGUUUCCGUAGGUGAACCUGCGGAAGGAUCAUUAACACGUAUCCAACGUUAAACAACCCUGUGAACUUUCAACGCUCUUGUAGCCCCAGAGGAACAGCAAUCCCGGUAAAUCAAUGGCGGAAAGUCUUGAUUCGGGACAAUCGAGCAGAGCAGUGGCAUGGUUUCCCUAAGCAGUGCAGAAGAAUCCACUGAGUAAGGAUAACGCAUCACGGUUGCCAGCGGUCGAUCACCGGCCGGCAGACAUGUCACAGGGCGCGCGCGCCCCCUCAUUCACCCCUUGCCCUCUCAAGCCUCGCGGAAACGCCAGGCAUAAAAACCGAACAACUGUUAACAAUGGAUAUCUUGGUUCUC